RNAcentral lists this long non-coding RNA (354 nucleotides) under Vulpes vulpes (red fox). Its description in RNAcentral is "lncRNA (ENSVVUG00000007908.1)". Lineage: Eukaryota; Metazoa; Chordata; Mammalia; Carnivora; Canidae. The record is from RNAcentral.
AUUCAUAAUGAGGAAAAUCUGGAAGAUGUUUAUAUAUGAUAAAAUGUUAUGUAUUUCAGUAGAAUUCAUACGAACACACAGCAUGGUAUAGUCUAACACUAAACCAAGGGCAGGGAGAUCCAGGUUGUGGUACCUACAAUGAAACCACAGACAAAUGCAAGAGAAUGGCAGGUUUUGGUGGUUGGGCCAUCAGAGAAAGGCAUAGUCUGUCAACAUGGCUUGAUUGAAUAUGGGGCACAGGGCCUCCAAGGGACAGAGGGGCCAUUUAUUGAAUCCCAGCCUAAGGGUUGUUUGCAGAUGAAGGGGCACAGUGUCCAAUGUAUGGUGAUGAUUUGGGGCAGCAACUUCCAUUGA